Molecule: long non-coding RNA, 1173 nt
Organism: Macrobrachium nipponense
Lineage: Eukaryota; Metazoa; Arthropoda; Malacostraca; Decapoda; Palaemonidae
Exons: 4
Source: RefSeq, a predicted model, not a curated record
CAUUGGCAAUCCUGUCCAAGGAGCGUCAAGCCGUCAACCCAACCCAGAUUAGGGUCAUUUGGUUGGCGAAGGAAAGUAAAGAAAGCCAAAUGGCCUUUUGGCCUACAGGUGACACCAGCUAUUAGAAGUGUUCCCGUUUAAAGUGAUGGAUAAAUCUAUUGUUGACACUAACUCUGGCAAGAGAGAGAACGCCCUGUACUUUUCAGCAAGAAGACUCCAAGCAGGAGGCCUUGGAGCAAGAAGACUCCAAGCAAGAGGGCUCAGAGCAAGAAGACUGCAAGAAGAGGCCUCAGAAGACUGCAAGCAGGCGACCUAAGAGCAAAAACAAAAACACUGCAAGCACGAGACAGACUGAAUACACAGAAAAGAGAGAAAAUGUCGGGUACUGUUCAGCAUGAGAGGAACUAAAUUGGUUUCAGAGCGUGAAAACUCCAAGCAAGAGGCCUCAGAGCAAAAACAAGAAGACCGCAAGCAGGAGGCCUUAACAAAAACACACUGCAAGCUUGCAAAGAGAUUAGACUGAAUACACAAGAAAAGAGGCUAGAGUGAAAAUGGCUGGUACUGUUCAGCUCGCAAGCAACUAAAUUAGCCUCAGAGAAAGGAGACUGCAAGUAAGAGAGGCCUCACAGCAUAGAACUGCAAGUAAGAGAGCCUCACAGCAUAGAACUGCAAGUAAGAGAGGCCUCACAGCAUAGAACUGCAAGUAAGAGAGGCCUCACAGCAUAGAACUGCAAGUAAGAGAGGCCUCACAGCAUAGACAAGAAGACUGCAAGUAAGAGAGGCCUCACAGCAUAGACAAGAAGACUGCAAGUAAGAGAGGCCUCACAGCAUAGACAAGAAGACUGCAAGUAAGAGAGGCCUCACAGCAUAGACAAGAAGACUGCAAGUAAGAGAGGCCUCACAGCAUAGACAAGAAGACUGCAAGUAAGAGAGGCCUCACAGCAUAGAACUGCAAGUAAGAGAGGCCUCACAGCAAAGAACUGCAAGUAAGAGAGGCCUCACAGCAUAGAACUGCAAGUAAGAGAGGCCUCACAGCAUAGACAAGAAGACUGCAAGUAAGAAAGGCCUUGGAGCAAAAAGAAGCCUAGGGUUGAUAAAAAAAAAAAAUUCUAAAUGUUAAUACUGAAAAAAAAAAAUUUUUUUAGCCAGACAGCUGGAGUUGGCAGCCAAAAA